UACGGGGGGGGCAAGCGUUGUUCGGAAUUACUGGGCGUAAAGGGCUCGUAGGCGGCCAACUAAGUCAGACGUGAAAUCCCCAGGCUUAACCUGGGAACUGCGUCUGAUACUGGAUGGCUUGAGAUUGGGAGAGGGAUGCGGAAUUCCAGGUGUAGCGGUGAAAUGCGUAGAUAUCUGGAGGAACACCGGUGGCGAAGGCGACAUCCUGGACCAACACUGACGCUGAAGAGCGAAAGCCAGGGGAGCAAACGGG
Molecule: ribosomal RNA, 253 nt
Filed under: uncultured bacterium
Lineage: Bacteria
Description: partial 16S ribosomal RNA
Rfam family: Bacterial small subunit ribosomal RNA
Source: RNAcentral